Long non-coding RNA from Syzygium oleosum, 475 nucleotides. RefSeq lists it as uncharacterized. The record is from RefSeq and is a predicted model, not a curated record. The transcript has 2 exons. Lineage: Eukaryota; Viridiplantae; Streptophyta; Magnoliopsida; Myrtales; Myrtaceae.
AAGCUCAACACCUCAAAGCAACCACAGAGGGAACACACACACACACUCUCUCUCUCUCUGACACACAUACACCCACAAACAGAGAUCAAAUGAUGUGGAGGGAAUGGAAGGAGCAGAACAAUGGGAUCAUCGGUGGUGGCGGAAGGGUGCGCCAUCCUCCUCCAAGGACAGAUCAGCUCCUGCUGACGACUCCGGCUUCUAUGGUGCUGGAUGCGCCGCCGGUUGUGGCGCCGCUUGUGGCGCUUGAUGAUGCUGUGGGUGGUUUCUAAUUCUCACUAACUUCUCAUGAAUUUGAGAUGUGGCGAGAAUUUACACCAUUCUGUUUGUACAUCAAGGAAAACCCGAGAGUUAAUCUAGAUCCACUUUACUAAUUGUUAAAGUGAUUAGCUGGUAUUUGCAAUAUGGCUAUCGUGGCCAAAGAAAGAGGCAGUUUUGCAUAUGACUAAGUUUAACUAGUUGCAUCAAUUUUUCUUCA